Long non-coding RNA from Leptopilina boulardi, 13469 nucleotides. RefSeq lists it as uncharacterized. The transcript has 2 exons. The record is from RefSeq and is a predicted model, not a curated record. NCBI's taxonomy places the organism in Eukaryota, Metazoa, Arthropoda, Insecta, Hymenoptera, Figitidae.
CAAAAACUAGUUUUUAAUAACUGCGCUAAAUAUAAAUGAUGCUUUUUGCUUCCGCGUGGAGGAAGUUUUGUAGUCCUUUCGUUUAUAAAAUUUUUAAAAAUGGUGAAAACACAUUUUCCUCUAUAUAGAAACAUGUUAUAUGAGAUCCUGAUCAAUUAUCCGGAUGUAUGUAAGUGUGUGUAUGUGUGUGUGGAUCGUUUUUGUGAACACGAUAACUUUAACAGGUUUUAAUGGAUUUGGGUAAAAUUUGGUAGGGUUAUUUAUCACAUUAGUCUCUCAAAAAUGACGAGAGGAUUUUUAAAAAUACCCCCAAAAAAAAUUUUAUCAUCUUUUUUCCAAUAAAUUUUUUUUAAUUGAAAAAAUUUUUAAAUAGAAAAAUUUAAUGUAAUAUAUAAUAUAAUCGUCUUCUUUACGUCAAGACAAAACGAUUACUAUAUAAAAAGUAUAGAUUUGGUUAAAAUUUAAAAAAUUAAUGAAAGUUAAAAAAUUUAGCUAAAAAAUGUUGUGUUUAUUAAAAUUCAAGUUUAUAUAUGAAAUAAUUUUAUUCACUGCAUUAAAACAAAUCGAUUUGUAUAUAUAAAGUACAGAUUUAACUUAAAUUUUAAGAAUUAAUAAAAAUUGAAAAAUCAAAAAUCCAUAUCUUAGCUAAAAAAUUUUAUGUUUUUUUAAAUUCAAGUUAAUACAUAAAAUAAUUGAAUUCCUUGUAUUGAAACAAAUCGAUUCGUAUAUAUAAAGUAUAUGUUAUACCCAAAUGAAUUGCAAUUUUCUUAAUUUUUCAAUAUAUUUAAUGAAUUUAAAUCAUUUUUUAACUCGAAAUGUUUUAAAUCAAUUAAUUGAAUUAGAGAAAUUCAUAGCCUCCUCCACGAGGAAGCAAAUUUUUUGCUUCACACAAAGAGGAAGCAAAAUGUUUAUAAAAUAAACAUAAAGGACCCCCUCCGACCCCCUCCUUCCCUAUUGAAAAAUCCCAUAUAGGAUUCUAUAUAGGAUCCGAUAAAAUUUCCCAGAAAAAAAACUAUAUAAAAUCCUUGAAUCUUAUAGGAAUUUUUAUAGGAUCUCAUAUAAAUUCCUAUAAGAAAGUGAAACAGGAUUUAAUGUAGGAAAUGACAUAGGAUAAUUAUAUAUAAUUUCCUAUAUAUAUGUAGGAAAUAAUAAGGGAAAUUAUAUAGGAAAUUUUAUGGGUAAUUUCAAUAUAGAUGUAGAUCAUUAUAGUUCCACACUUACGCCGCCAGAUGGUUAUAAUAUUUUGUCUCUCACAGUUGAGAUCAGUCUUGAAUAGUAUAAAAGCUAAGACUCUAACUCAGAAGAUGUAUUGCAAAUCACAAAUUUUUUUCUUUUUAGAUGAAUGCAGUAAUAUUAUUUGAUUUUUAAUUAAAUAAUUUUUAAUUUUUUAAAACAGCCGUCUGCAUAAAGUAUUCAACUGAAAAUUCCCAUAUGAAAUCCUAUAUUGUUUCCUUUAUAUAAAUCCAUAUGAAAUCAUAGGUUUACAUGAGAUUUCUUAUGAGAUUCGACAUGAGAUUUUUCAAAGGAAUUUUUUAUGUAUAUAAGCAAAAUAAAAUUUCACCUAGGAUACAAUAUGGGAUUUGACAUAAGAAAAUUUUGAUUAAGGUUAUUUAUUAUGAAUUAUUGUAUGUUUUUAUACAGGAAAUAUCAUAGGAAAUUUAUAAGGAAUUGACAUGGGGAUAUGACAUAAGAUUAUGUGAGAGAAAAUUUAGAGGAAAUCACAUAGGAAUUCACAUAAUUUUUCAAAGGGAUAUGAUAACUCCUAUGUCACUUUCUACGUGCAUCCUAUAUGGGGGUUUUCAAUAGGGUUGUACGGUUGAGAUAUACACAAAAUACAUACUUUACACUAUACACACUAAACAUGGUCGAGGAUCGAGUCCUACAAGUUAGCCCGCGAAUUGUAAGAUGAUAUUUCAAAGAAUAAAUUCAAAAAACUUUUUUUUGUUUAAUUUUCAUCGUUUACGUUACACUAGAACGAAAUAUACAUUUUUAGAAUUUAUUAUUUCAAUAAUUAACAAUUUUUAAAAUUUCUACCUCUUUCUAUCUCUCUUUUUUCUAUCUCUUUCUAUUCCUUAAAAUAGAUAAGCGAAGAGAUAGAAAAAUAGAGAUAUAAAAGUUCUAUCUCUUUCAAGUAUCCAUUCUGCACUUCCAAAACUGUAUACCUUUUUAUUAGAGGUGUGAAUUCGAGCAUAUUAAACAUAGAGAUAUAAGAAUAGAGUGCGCAAGAGGCUCGAAAAAACGACAGAUUAUAUGCGUUGGACAGAAAGAGACAGAUGCGAUUUGUAGGCCCUUUUCCCAUCCUUGUUUCACUGAUGUAUCGGAGUUAGUAAGAGAAGAAGGAAGGCAGGGCCCACUAGUUGCAUCUGUCUUCUUCUAUUGGUUUAUCGCAGCGAAACAUGGAAAUUGUACAGGCUUGCGCACUCUAUUCUUAUAUCUCUAUGGUAUUAACCGUUCAAUUUUUAUUUUCUUGCAAAAACUACAUAUUUGAAAUUACAAACUCAUGAAAAAAUAGCUUACAAACAAUCGAAUAUUCAAAUUCUCGAGUACUCGAAAAUUUUCGAACUUUUUAUACAGCUCGGCUCAAACUCGGCUCGAGCUCGAAUUAAUAAUGCUCGGCUCGAAAAAUCUCGACCGAGUUUCGAGCUUUUUGCACACCUCUACUUUUUAUCUCUUCCGAUUUUUUUAACAAAAAACUCAAAAUUUUGAUUAAAACACGUGCUAUUUAAAAAAAAUCGGUUUUUUCAAAAUCCCCUACGUCUUUUCAUAGAUUUUGAGUUAGGUAUAAACUAAAAAAAAAUUUAGUUUUUUGUUCUGAGUCAUAAACUAAAAAAUAUUUUCUACCGGCCGUACACGUCUGCAUAAAAAAGGGUUUUUGUGGAUCGACUGUCAGUGCGGCUAUUUUAAAUUUUUUAUCUUUUGAAAAUAAUUUUUUAAUAGUUUAAUAUGUACUUCACAGUAAUAUAUAAUUCAUUUUUUAAUUCAUUUUAUUUUGUUCUUUAAAAAAAUCUUAAAAAUGGGUCUGAUUUUCGGUCUUACAGUGGUAGUCUUACAGUCUAACCCCUUAAGCCGUUUCAUAUAGGCCUAAUUUCAUAUUCAUAGCAAAAGCAGAGGUCGCAAAAUUCCCGCUAAUAAUUUAAUUUUUGCUAUUUUAAAAAUAGUUAGACGUUCUGUUUGUUGGAUUUUUGAAAUAAGGGGCCAUUCAUUAAUUAUGUAAGGACGAUUUUGGCUAAUUUUGACCCCCCCCCUACACUAAUGUAAGGAUACAUAAGAAUUUUCGGACCCCCCCUCCCCCUUGUUACGUAAGUUUUUAACAAUAUUAAUGUAAUUAAAAAAUUAAUUACAACAAUACCCUUAUGUAAUUAAUGAAUGGUCCCUAACAGAUCUCAUUUUUAAUGUACAAAAUCGAAAUAAAUUGUUAUCGAUAUACCAUCACUAAUCCAAAGCACUAAGAAACAUUAACUAUCUUUAUAUUCUAGAUUUAAUAACUUCAAUAACAUGACGAUCCGGUUGCAUUGCAAAUAUACUAUACGAAGCAUUUUUCAGAUUUCUCUAAGCACAAUACAGCGUAGAAUAUCAAUUUUCCUUACGUUUUUAUAUACAUGGUGUUCCAAAAGUAUGGAAACUUGCAAAUAUCUCGAAAAGUAGGCAUUUUCGUGACACUUCUUUUUUCACUGUUGGGUCCCGGGACCAAUUUUUUGGCUUCAAAAAUGUAGAUAUUUUGGGGGGACAACUUUAGUUUUGAAGAUUUUUCAUGAAAAUGCAAACUUUUCGAGAUAUUUGCAAGUUUCCAUACUUUUGGAACACCCUGUGUGUAUGUAAAAUAUAUAGGGGAAGUCCGGGGGAGUUGGCCAUGCGGGAGAGAUAGCCAAUUCAAAUAUUUUAUAGAAUUUGCUGCUAGGUAUCGCUUAUUAAAGAUUAGUUCGCCUUAUUUUGUGGCAAAACACAAUUAAAAGAAAAAAAUUCACGAAAAAUAUUGAAAAAGUAAGUAAAAAAACUGAUUUGUUAUUUUGACUAGUUCUGAAAAAAGUGAUGAGUUUACGUUUCUCACUGGUGUUUUGUUCUUUUAUAGAAUAAUUUUGAAUUUAAUUUUUUUCUGUAAAGUACAUGACCCAAGCUUUGUCAUAAAGUUAUAUUUAUUCAAAAGUUUUAUUUAUUUAUUUAAAUUUUAGUUGUGUCAAUUUGUCUCCUGACAUUAAGAGAGAUGGCUAUGUUUUUUCGAGUUGUUCAAAAACUGUGUUUCUGAGUGUUUUCAGUAUUUUUUUCUCUUUAAACUGACGUGUUAGAGACUUCUAUCUAGGCUUAAAUUGAAGUUUAAAACGUACAUUUUAAGACCCAUAUGCGCAUAAUAAAAAAAAUUUUGAUAAAAUGGGGGUAAUGACCCCAAAAAUCUUUUUAAGUGACUUGAACCUAAUUUUUUUCAAAAUUUCAAUUUUUUAUCUUGCUCAUUCCUAUGUGUCUUAAAGUGUAAAAUAUGAGCUUUAAUUUAAGCCUAUAUAAAAGUCUCUAUCACGUCAGGUUAAGGAAUAAAAAUACUGAAAACACUCAAAAACACUGUUUUUGGAGACUUUACCUCCACUUUAUUCGAAAUCAUGGUGUAAUACGCAAUUUUGGAACCCGGAAUCGUGUUCAGAACACAAAAAUAAAUUGGAAACCAUUCUGAUAUCUCAAAAAAACUCCUUGUAGCCUUGUUGUAUCGGUGAGACAAACAGACAGACAGCGCUUAUGAAAAUUGCACUGUAUUUAAUCAUAAAUGUUCAAAAUGUAGUCAGAAAAAGAAAAAAAGACUUUAAUCCCUUUAAAUUACAAAUUUUGAUAAAGCGAAAAGCUAAAAAUUGAUUUUAAAGUAUUGGCCAUCUCCCCCGUACAUUCCGGGAGAGAUGGCCAAACGCAUUUCUUAAGAAAUAUUAAUUUUAAGAUUGUUUGCAUUUAAAAAAUUUCUCAUUUCUAUUAUUUUUUGUAAGUUAAAUGUUCAAUGUUUAAUUAGCAAUAAAAGUUAAUACAUAAAUCACUUUCUUUUUAUUUUUACAGACCUUUAAAAAAACUAUGGUCAACUCCCCCGGACUUACCCUAAUUACUAUUUUACUUCAUAAAGGAAUUUCAUAAAAAAUUUAUUUAUUAUUGAUCUGAAAUCUGUAUAACUGUACGUAUGAACUUGACUACAAGAAUAAUAAUAAUUAUAAUAAUUAAUAUUAAUAAAAUAAUUAUAAUAAUUAGGGAUGUGCAAGAAAUUGGAAACUCGACUGACAAUGAGUUAUUUCGAACUUUUCGUAUUUCGAGCAGAAUCGAGUCCAGCUUGAUCAGUUUGAAUUAAAGUCGAAUUUAGUUUUCAUUUUUUUCCCAAAAUUUAUAAAAUUCUUAUAUGGUUAGAGUAUUCAAACUUUUCGUAUUAUGGAACGAAUUCGAGGAUUCAAAAAAUUUUUAAACUUGAAUUGUUUUUUAUUAUUAUCAAAUCCUCUCAGAGAGAAAAAAAAUUUUAAAAACUUAAGAUUAAAUUCUUGAACUUUUCGAAUUCUCGAGUCUUUUAUCGUGAUUAAUUUUUUUACUACUGUUUAACUUUUUCCUUUAAUAAUACAUAAGUAAAUGAGAAAAAACGUGCAAGACACGAAAAAAAUACGUCUUUAAUACAAUUGAUAAACACUCACGAGAAAACGAGACUUUUUGUUAAUUAUACAAUUAUACUCCAUACGAUGGAACCAUUUUUUUUAAAACUAUCAUUUGAUUUUAGACGCUGAUCAUCUUAUGAUUUAAAUGUUUACAGUGUCGAAGAAUAUUUAUUUAUUUAAUUACCAUAGGCAAUUAUUAUACCGGUGAAAUAAUUAUUUUGUGCAGUGGACUCUACUAACGAAAUAUAUAUGUAUAGUAUUACAAGUUAUUAUUCCUUCUAUUUUAAAGAUUUUAAACACUGAAUAUUUUGUUUCAUCCACAUAUAUAAUAACUAAAAAAAAAAUAAUAUAAAGGAUUUGAAAAAGUAUACUUGAGAUAUUAAACUAAACCUAAUUUAAUCAGAAAAUUCAAAUCAUGUUUAUUGUCUUUUUUCCAUUUUUAUAAAUAAGUCCUCCAAAUAGCAUACAAAUGAGAGAGGAUUGGUACGCACUUUACUAAAAUUGUAUGAUUUUAAAAUUAUUUUAUAACAUGUAAAAUUACUUUUAAAAACAUAAAAUCUUUUAACAACUAAAAGUAGAAAUUAAAAUCUUAUUUCAAAAAUGUAUUGAGAAAAACAAAUAAUUGUUUUCAUAAUUACGCCAAUUAACCUUUGAGCCUUUUGCUUUAUUUAUUAAUGCAUCAUCAAAGAAUUAAAACAUUCGUUAUUCAUUAUAACAUAUUUACUGCCCGAUUCCAUCUAAAGCAUAAAUUUUUAAGUUUUCAAACUUACAAAACCUAGUCUUGGUCUUAGAAUUACAAAAGACAUUAUUUUUGGCAGUUUUUUAUGUAAAAUUAUUUAAAAUAUCAAAGUCUAUUUAUAAAUACCACACUUUAAUUUUUAUCUCUUGUACGUUUAAAGGAAUUUUUUCAUAAUAAGUUCAUUUCUAUGAGAAAAGAUAAAGUUCUUUUUUUUAAUAGAUCGCGAAGUAAUUUAGUUUUAAAAUUAUAUAAAAAUAAAAAUAUUUUUUAGUAAAUUAUUAUUAUGUUAUGUUAAUCGACUUUCUCGAGAUUAAAGUCGACAAGAUCGACUUUGUUCGUUCGACUUUCGACAUAGUUUGACGGUUGACAAAUUCAAGUUGUUCAAGUUUUUCUCAGAAGCAUAUGCCUGAAGUUAUAAACGUUUAAAUGAAAGAAAUAUAUUUUUUUAAAUUUACUACAUCAAUGAAAAUAAAAAGUUACAUUUAAAAUUCAAUAAGUUAUUCACUUAUUUUUCGAUACAGAAACCAAUAUUUUAUAAAAAAUUUGAAGUUAAAACAGUGGUAAAUAAAUUUUUCGUUCAUUUGAACGUUCAGAACUUUAGUCACAUUCAGAAGCAUUGAUCCAGACAUAUAUUUUGAUGACAAUUAAUCUUUUUUUUGUUUUUAAAAAUAUUAAAUGUUUAACACCGCAUUAAAAUUUUUCCGUUUUACUUCCCGGGUAGAAAUUUUGUCAUGGUCUAAACCUGGCCAAAUCUGGCAUCCAUAAAAUUGACAUGAAAUGCCUUACCUGAUUUGGGCUACAAGAUAAAGUCACAUUUUGACGCUUCCCAGGUCUGGCCCAUAUUGGGUGAGGCGUUUCAAUCCAUUUUUGGGCCAAAUAUGGCAAUUUCUACACGGGUUCUACGCUGUGACAAAAUGUGAUAAAAAAAAGACUAAUUUAACAGUAAUUUUAUUUUAAAAAAAGUAUCACUGUAAAAAUAUAUGCUAUCCUUUACAUUUCAAUAUUAAGAAUUAAUUUUGAGUAUAAAAAAAAUUUAUCUAAUUUUACUUGUAAAUGUUUAGAUUUUAUACACUACAAAACAUUUAAAAAAAUUUUUUUACUAAUAAGUAUGUUAAAAAAAUUGUUAUCUAAGGAAAAACACUUAUUUUAAAUUCAUUUAGUUAAUUUCACGUUUAUUAUAUAGGUAUACUUUACAAAAAGUAAUUUUUUUAAAAUUAUGUAUUUAAAAGUCGGUAAAAGUCGAUCGAAGUCGACUUCUUGACUCGAUUAAUCGACUUUUAAAGUCGAGAAAUAUAAAGUCGAUUGUGAAGUAGAAAAUCGACUUUUAAUUUCUCUUUUCUAUCCCUAAUAGGUCCAUUGAAAAUUUCGCUGGUGAAAAAUAAAACUUCUUAAUAUUCAUUGCUUUAAAAAAAUAACUGACAAUUAACGAUAAUUUUAAAACAGUAGUUUUUGUAGAAGAUUAAUAUAACUUCUUGGCAUUGCGUUGUUUACAAAUAAUUUCUUCAAAUACUUUAAAAAAGUUUUAGAAAUUGCCGAUGGAAAAAUGGUUUUUCUCAACAUUUCAUUUUUUAUGAGGGACUAUACUUCAAUUACGUAAUGCUUCAUAGGGGAGGGGAGUCAAGCAAUUUGUUACACACAGCAAAAAAAUGGCGCUAAUGUAUACAAAAAUCUGUUACAUAGGAAGGGAGGGGGUUCAAUUUUCAAAGAAAAAGCGUUACGUAAUUAAAGUAUGGUCCCUGAGGAGAAACAAAAAAGUAGAUAAUGACAAAUUUUAAACAACCCAUCGAUUAAUAUACCUGAACUUCCCAGGUCAAAACUUAGAAGUUAUUAAACUGGCUUGUAACUUUUGUAAAUUGUUGUUCUAUAUAAGAGUAACAAAUCCCUAAAAUAUUAGCUCAUUUUAAAAUUUUUUUUUAAAAGUAGUGAAGGUGUAAGUUUUGACGUUUUAAGGCGCUCUCACACCUUUUUGGCUGCCUGCAGCCAAAAAGGUGUGAGUGCGCCCCGGCGAGACUAAGGUUCAAUUUUGUAACACCGUGACUAAGGUAGGGUAAAUUUUACCCUAUAAUGAUUUUCUGUUUCUAUAUUUAAGAAAAGCUUAAAAUCAUGGAAAUUUUUUAACAAAUUUGUUUUAUAUUGUCUAGUAAUGUAAUUUAUUAGUGUCACAACAAAAUUUGAAUUUAUAUAAAAAUCGCAGUAAAAUUCAGCAUUCCUAGUUCAAACUAUCGAGGAAUAAAAGUUUCAUAGGGUAAAAUUUACCCUACCUUAGACACGGCGGGUUAAAUAGAAAAAUUUAAGGUUAUAUAUAAUAAAAUCUUACGUCAAGAUAAAUCGAUCGGUAUAUAUAAAGUAUAGUUUUAAUUUAAAUUUAGAGAAUUAAUGAAAGUUAAAAAAUCGAAAAUUCACAUUUUGGCUAUAAAAUUUUGUGAUUAUUUAAAUUUAAGUUUAUAGAUGAAAUAAUUGUCUUCCUUGCAUGAAAAUGAAUCGAUUGGUAUAUAUACAGUUUACAUUUAAAGUAAAUUUAAUAAAUUAAUAGAGAGAAGAUAUCUUUUUAAUUUUGUGGCCUAUUGGCUUAUAUUUAAUGUGUCACAUGUCAAAAACGUGACAAAAAAACUUGUUUUUCUAUUAAUUAAGGAAAUGUCUUUUAUAUUUGUUAUAUAUUUUUUACACACGUUUUUUAUAUAUUUUUACACAUGAUUUUAUUGAUACACAAUGGUUUUUAUUUUCCGUAUGACUUCUCUUGAUUUCUUUUUUGUAAGAAGUUUUGACAAACCCUUUUGAGGUUAUGUAAAAAAUUUUUUCAAAUGUUUUUCAAAAAAACCUGGUAUGUACACCAUUAAAUAGUUUGCCAAAAUGUUUCUCGUAGAAACUUAUGUAUUCUAUUGGCUUUUUACAGAUUAUUUAUCUUGCUUUGUUUUUUCUGAUGAGGAUACAGAAUACUGUGUCGAAACGCGUCAAAUUUUGAUGUAAUUAAAUAAGUAUAAGCUAAUAGGCCACAAAAUUAAGAAGACAUCUUCUCUCUAUUAAAAAUGGCUUAAAAUAAAGAAGUAUUUACUUCAUACAUUAAUAAAUUAAUGAAAGUUAAAAAAUAAAAAAUUCACAUUUUAGCUGAAAAAUUUUGUAUUUAUUUAAAUUCAAGUUUAAAUAUAAAAUAAUUGUGUUCCUUGUAUUGAAACGAAUCUAUAUAAUUGUAAAUAAUUAUAAAUUAUAUAUUAUUUUUUAUUAAUUUUUAGAAAUUUCAGCUAAAAUGUGAAUUUUUGAUUUCUUAACUUCCAUUAAUUCUUUAAAUUUAACUCAAAUCUGUAGGUACUCAAAUGUUUAUAUUAUUAUAUUAUUUUUGUAUGUUUAUUUCAAUGUUGAUGCUUUCUCCACGAGGAAGCAAAAUGUUCAUGUAAUGAACAUCGGAAUUUACAACUUGUUAUUAUUUUUUUAAAUAUUUUUGCAAUUGAAUUGUUUAAUAUAAAAUUUUCUUUUUUAAAAUAGUGAAUAAAAUGUAAGCUUAAAUUAAAUGAAAAAAAAAAUUGUAAAAUCCGAUUAAUCUUAUGUUGUCAUGUCAACAAAUAAAAAUUUUAGUUAUCUAUUACUUCUGGCCAGCACCAAACCUGGGUCCAGCUAGACCUUCCAGACCAGCAUCGCUAGACACAGUCUAGAAAUUACAAAAUGAAAAUUUUCUGUUAUUUAUUACCUUUGGUCAGCACCAGAGUUGGGUCUUCCAGACCAGCAUCGCUAGAUACAGUCAAGAAAUUCCAAAUUAAAAAUUUUUAGUUAUCUGGACCUUUUGCCCAGCACCAGAUUUCGGUCUGACUAGACUCUCCAGACCAGCGAGGCUAUUCAGGGUCUGACUAGUGUUUGAGUACUACCAGAACUGGAUUAAGCCAAACCUUCCAGACUAGCGAUGCUAGACGUUUUUUAGAUUGCGCUAGGCUUGACUAUAGACGUUCCAGAAGAUUUUUCUACACGGGAAAAUUAUUUGAUAUAAAUAAUGUAUCUUUUAAUGCCAAUAUACAUUAUUUUAUCAAAACAAAUAAAAAAAUAUUUAGACCAAAUAAACAUUAAGAAGGGAAACUCGUGUAAAAAUUUUUUUUUUACAAUUUUUCUAUUUUGCUUUAAAAAUUAGUUUAUUAUCUAUAGAAUAUGAUCCUACAUUACUAAUCUAUAUUUAGAUGUAUGAAUGUCUAUAGUAUUCAUAAGUUUAGCACUACAAAUGCUAUCAAAUGUAGCUAACGAUGAGCACGAAAUCUCUCUAUUCUUUCGGUUUCUUCCCAGUGUGCACACCCUGUAACUGUUCUAGAAUGGUUAUUGAAAUAAAGAACUAAUCUAGAACAGUUACAGGUUGUGCACACUGGGUUGUCAAUAAAAUUUUAUUAAUUGUCAUUAACAAGGACCAUAAGCAAGUGAUAGUAAAUCUUGGUUUUAGUGCUAUUGUUAUUUUCGAUUACAUAACGUUUUUAAGGCAAUACUUAAAACACUAUUUUUUUGUAUCGAAAACUUUAAACGCGUUUAAAGUGUUUUUUCGCGCGCCGUGCAAUGCAGCUCAGACAAUUUUUAACCGAUUUUCAUGAAAUUUACCAGAAAUCUUCUUUAACUUACUGGCUAUUGCAUGACGAAAUGACGAAAAAAAUUUUUUUAAACAAUUUAGUUUUUAGAUUGUUUAUAAAAAAAAUUGAUUUUUUUUUAAAAUGGUGGGGCGCAUGAUUAUUUCAUAAUGUGAAACAUUUAGAAAUUUAAUUUUAUAGAAUUUUACUUUAUUCGAAUUUGUGUUUUUUGAAUUAACGUUGAAUAGAAUUUAAAUUAACCAGAAUUUAUACAUAAACAACAAAUGUUUAGAGUUCAAAACUUGAUAUUUGAGCUUUUCCAAAAAUAAGUUUUUAAAGAGGUAGAGGAAGGUGGGGUAAUGGGAGCUUUUAAAUUUCAAGUACACAGAGACUUUGAAUUUCGUGGAAAUAACUCGGAAAACUUGAAUAAUCUUCCUGUAUGUCAUACGAAGAAAAGUGGUAACAUUUCUAAAAGAUUUAUAGAAACUACAAGGAAAAAUCAAGUUUUCGAGUUUUUCUUCUUAAAUGCAAAAUCUUUCUGGAGAUCAAAGUAAAUAGUUAAAAAUUUAUUAUUUAAUUAUGUUUUGUGAUUUUAUUAGAGAUAAAUAUGUGUAGAUUUAGAUACAUGAAUAAAAAUAGAGGUAAUAAUUAAAUUUGUUUUUCAUCUUUUUUUUCAAAUUGUGACCUCUGAAAAUUCUUUGGAGUAAUUGAAGAAUUGUGCCAGCCAGCAGAGUUUCGUUACCUCGAUAUGACUUUUCUUAUUUUUUUGAAAAUUAAAGAAGAUUCAUUUAUGAAAUUUGAUAUUGUUGCAUAUUUAAUUGCUAAGAAUCAAUAUUUGUAUUUUAAUGUCUAAAAUGUGUUAUUAUUGAAUAUUUUAAUACUAAAGAAGCUGUAGGUCUUUUUUAUGUCUUAAAUAUUUUGUAAAAAUAUGUAAAUAUUGUAAAAAUCUGUCGAGAACUAUUGACAAAAUAAGAAAAAUAUCUAAAGAAAAUAUAAAUUAUAUAAUUUUAUUGGAAUUUCAAGUGAGAGCUCCCAAUACCCCACAGGUGGGGUAAUGGGAGAAAAUGCAAACUUACUUUUUUGUUCUUAAUUUCUAAUUAAUUAUAAUUAAAGGUAAAUAACAAAAGGAGUAAAAAAUGAUCAAAACAAUAUUUUAUUAUAAAAAUAAGUUGGUUUUUUUAAUCAUUGUCCUUAAGGGACUCCAAUUUCCCCACCUUCCCCUAACAUAAAAAAAAUGAAGAAGUUAAAAAUUUACUCUGGAGUACCAAAAUUAGUUAUUUUAAUUUAUACUUCACAAUAAUGAAUGAAUAUUAAUUAAAUUGUGUACAAACUUACAGUUCAUCAAACGAAGCUGAAGUGCGCAAUGUUUAUGAUAAACGAUUUUGAAAGAAAUAAUUUUUUAAAAUGAAAAAUUCUAUAAUUUUUUUCUUAAAAAUUAUUUUUUGUAGAUUUCAUUAAUUAACAAAUUAUAAAAAAAUAUUUUAUAGGCAAAAAAUUAUAGAAUUUUUCAUUUUAAAAAUUAUUUCUUUAAAAAUCGUUUAUCAUAAACGUUGCGUACUUCAGCUUCGUCUUCAUUAAGUUUUUUAACUUAAGUGGAGGGAAAAAUUGAUUCAACUUAAAACUUUUGAAUACACUCAAGUGUGCCAAGCAACCCCUGCGCCAAACAGCCCAAAUGUUUCAAAUUUCCCUAUUUGCAAAUUAAAAUCGAUAAAAUUUUGAGAUAGUUAUGUGGAUUUUAAAAUGCCAAUUUCACUUAAUUCAUUAAAACUUCCACACUUUCUACAAAUUUUUUUUAACAUGAGCUAAUAUUUUAGAGAUUUGUUACUCUUAUAUAGGGCAACAAUUCUCAAAAGUUAAAAGCCAGUUCAAUAACUUCUAACUUUUAACCAGGACAGUUCAGGAAUUUUCCCCCAUAUGAUAAUUUUGAACUUUUUAAAUAUGUAUGUUCAAGGCAUCGACAUUAUUUUCAAAUGUGAAAACAAAUAUUUCAAUUCGUUUAUAAUUUAAAAAGCAUAUAUUGUGAUUACAUUAUUUGUGUUGUGCACGCAGAAAAAUGGUUGAAAUUGAAAUUCGGUGAAUUCUAGGGAACGAUUCAAUAAAUUGGUUACGGCAACUAUUUCUUGAACAGUGCAACCACCAUUAGAAAUUUUUGGUUCGCGCUCCAAAAUCUGACGAAUCGAAUAUAACUUUCCCAUUUAAAGUUAUCUCAUGUGGAAUUAAAUUGUGCACGACUUUAUCGAAGUAGUGACAACUUAGACGAAAAUUUUAAUCUCAAUCAGUUUAAUAAUUAUUUUUAAUUUAAUCGGUUGGCAAUUUGAAAUUAUGUUAAUGAAUUGAAUACCGUGAAAAAGUCAAUUCCAGAUUCACACCACUAUAUGUGUUGGUAAUUAACCGAAUUAGAAACAUCUACACUUUUGCAUGCAACUGUAUGUAUUUCAUAUAUAGUUUAUUGAAAAGUCUUCUGUACAUAUAUAUUUUACUGCUCUCGGCGCAUUACAAGCCUUUUACAUAUGAUUAUCUCAUGAGCUUAAUAUUCGUCCCAUUAACUGCCCAUCUGUCACGAUUCGAAAAUAAAUAUCAUUAAUAGAAAAAAAA